GGGAGGGUGGAGAGAGGAAGGGGCCGGAGGCGGAGAGGGAGGAGGGCAGUGGCGGGGAGAACGGGAACAACUGCUCGUUGCAACAGAUCGCCGCCGCCGUUUGUCUGUGUUCUCUGGCCAUCGCGCCGCCCUCUGCUGCAUACCGAGCGGCCUCUCUCCCGCUGGUUGAUUGCACGCUGUCGGCGCUUUGCCCAGUCCCGAUCGACACGAGGCUGCCAUUGCGGUUGAGCCCACGAUCUGCAAAGCGGAUCCUUUUCUUCAUUCUUUCUCUUACUGAUGAUCCUAAUCCUCCAAAUAGAGAGAGAAAUGAGAAGUACUCGAAGCCUCCUUCGUAAAUAUUUCUUGCUUAGUGACUUAUUCUCCAAACACACUACAUACUUAUCCUCCAACUUUGCUUUGGGUCCGUCAAUCUAAACAGUGGAUCAGUAUGUGGGAGCAUUCAAGAGCAAACAAAACGUCGGAUUCAUCGCGGGGGAGUUUUUGUUGCAUAGCUCAUUUUGGUGCUAUUGUAACUUGUGAUGCGUAGAUAGAUCAAUCCAAUGGCUUGACAGUGGAUCAGAACUAUUGUAUCACUUUUUCAGAUAUAUUGAUCUUCACAUUCUUAGUUGGCA
RNAcentral lists this ribosomal RNA (611 nucleotides) under Triticum aestivum (bread wheat). RNAcentral's name for it is "partial small subunit ribosomal RNA". The record is from RNAcentral. Lineage: Eukaryota; Viridiplantae; Streptophyta; Magnoliopsida; Poales; Poaceae.